This 6005-nucleotide long non-coding RNA is filed under the name Malus domestica (apple). Its description in RNAcentral is "long non-coding RNA (MDOM_LNC003340)". Lineage: Eukaryota; Viridiplantae; Streptophyta; Magnoliopsida; Rosales; Rosaceae. The record is from RNAcentral.
UGAUUCAGUUGUUAGACCUACAACUUAUUAGUCUUUGCCAAGGAUCACAAUUAACAUUCACAUAUACAUAUAUAUAUUUGAGGAGUCUGAGUAUGAUCAUACCUGAGGACGUCAUGAUACAAGCAACAAAACAGCAACACAUAGAGUCUUCUACUCACUGAGGAACCUGAUAUCAAAACCCUAGCGAUAGUUCUAGAUCUUGUUUUUGAUGUAAUCUUCCCGUGAGCAGGGACACCUCCUGUAUAGGCUUAUAAACCCAACUGCAUCCCAACUAUCGUGGGAUCGUCUAACCCUAAAAAAUCUCCACGUUUGUCAGUUGUUAAACCACAACUGAAGCGCGCAUUUAGUGUCCUACAAAUAAGGGAUUUUAUCCUUUAAAUGGUUUUGACUUUAAAUAAUUAAUUCCACGUAUGAUAGUCCUUAUUAUGCCCAAUGAUAAUUCAAUAGAGUCCUAACAUUCUCCCACUUGAAUUAUCACUGAUCAUAUCCUUUAUCAACGUAUUAAUCCCUUAGUGAUCACUUUUGUCAACACAACCAUUAAUCCCUUUGCAUAUCUGCCAUAAAUUAUUUCAAAGAAAUGAACCUUAGAAAAUCUUAUACAUCAACUCGUACAAGCACCCUAAGAUCACAUCACCCAAAAUAAUUUAUGCAUGAUAUAAUUACCGAAACAAAUUCAAAACUUUGUUUCCAUGCUCCCACUGAUCAGAGCAGUCCACCAUUGUCAAGCUUUUGUUUAGCUCCAAUGGAAUGCUUAUAAUACCAAGCACAUUUAGUCCGAAUCUUUCAUCAGUCCACAACAUUUCAAUAUAUUGCAUACAUAUAUUUGUACAUAUAUACAAUAGCUGAAAUGAAACCUCAACCAUUAACAUGGUCAAAUUCAAGAGUACAUGAAUUCAAGCUUUAUUUAUUUCAUUUUAUUUUUAUUUUUUUUAACAAAAGAUGAAAUCAAAUGAAAGAUAACCCUUACUUCCAUACGGUAGCUGAAUCAAAGGAUUCAACCACGCCCAUGUUUGCCACAUGAUUCUUGAAAACUCCCACUGCCAACGGUUUUGUAAGGGGAUCAGCCAACAUUAAAGUAGUGUCAAUGUGUUCUAUAGACACCAUUCCCGCCUUCACCUUCUCCUUGACUGAUUGAUACUUGACAUCCAUUAAUCGAGCUGCAUAAGAUUUCUUGUUGUUUUUAGAGAAGAACACAACAGCUUUAUUGUCACAAUAUAUUACAAGUGGCUUCGCAAUUGUGUCAACUAUCCUCAUUUCUGAAAUAAGAUUCUUCAACAUCAUGGCUUGUUGGGUUGCUUCAAAACAUGAAAUAUAUUCUGCCUGCAUUGUUGAAGUAGCCAAAGUUUUCUGCUUUGCACUUCUCCAAGAAAUAGCACCUCCAGCCAUUAGAAAAACAUACCCACUCGUUGAUCUUCGAUCAUCCUCACAUCCCGCAAAAUCUGAGUCACAAUGACCAAUCACUUCCAACCUUUCAAUCCUACCAUAUACUAACAUGUAGGAUUUGGUCCUUUGCAAGUAUCGAACAACCUUCUUGGCGGCAGUCCAAUGAUAUUCCCCUGGGUUUGCUUGGAAUCUCCCAAGCACACUAACUGCAAAAGCCAAAUCCGGCCUCGUGCAAACUUGUGCAUACAUUAAACUUCCAACAAGUGAAGCAUGGGGUCUGUUGGACAUGCUUUGCUUUUCAAUAUCAUUCUGAGGACAUUGAGAUUUGUUAAACUUGUCUCCUUUGCUCAUUGGGGCUUCACCUUUUGCACAACUCUCCAUAUUGAAUCUUUUCAGGACCUUUUCUAUGUAAGAUUUCUGCGAGAUCCCUAGUAAGCACCUUUUCCUGUCCCUAAUUAUUUCUAUUCCAAGCACGAAAGUAGCAUCACCCAUGUCUUUCAUUUCGAAAGUAUUUGACAGCAACCUUUUGGUAUCUAUCAGCAAGUUUAGAUCAUUACUUGCUAACAAAAUAUCAUCGACAUACAAGACAAGGAAAAUAAACUUGGAACCACACACUUUGAGAUACAAACAGUCAUCGAUUUUGUUCUCAACAAAUCCAAAACCAGUGAAUUUUUCAUCAAACUUCAUAAACCAUUGUCUCGAUGCUUGUUUCAACCCGUAGAUCGAUUUCCUUAGUUUGCAUACCAUGUGCUCAUUGUUCUCUUUAACGAAACCAGGUGGUUGUACCAUGUGAAUAUUUUCAUCGAGAACUCCAUUAAGGAACGCCGUUUUAACGUCCAUUUGGUGAAGCUCAAGAUCAAAAUGUGCAACUAGGGCAAGAAUGACUCGGAGUGAGUCUUUUGAUGAAACUGGGGAGAAUGUGUCCGAGUAAUCCAAACCCUCCUUUUGUGUGUAACCCUUUGCAACCAGCCUCGCUUUAUACCUUUCAACUGCCCCACUAGAGUCCCUUUUUGUCUUAAAAACCCAUUUGCAUCCUAUGGGUUUUAUAUAUUCGUCUCUUUCCACCAAUUCCCAAACUUCAUUGAAGUACAUCGAAUCCAUUUCGUCCUUCAUUGCAGCCUUCCAGUCAUUAGCUUUAUCACAAUUAAUUGCUUGAUUGUACGUGAUUGGAUCAUUGUCAAUUCCUUCCUCAUGCUCAACCUCUCCCACAUAUACUAAGUAGUCAUUCGAGAAUGGAGACCUUCUACUUCUUUGUGACUGCCUCCUUUGCACUGGAACUUGCUGCAUGGUGAUUUGUUGAGCAUUAUCUUGCAUUUCUAAUAUUUGUGGCUGCACGUCUACCAAUUCAUGCUGAUCCAUGCAAUCAACAUGGCUUAGAAUUCCCACGUCCCCAAAAUCAAUUGUGUCAGCAUGCAUUGGAGUUUCUUUGAAAGAUGACGAACUAAUCAAAUCUUCUUCUUCAAAAACCACUUCUUUCAAACCUUCAUUGCUAGAUUGUUGAUCUUCAAUGAACCUAGCAUUAUUAGUUUCAAAAAUCCUUGUGGAUAAACUCGGUGAGAAGAAUCUGUACCCUUUUGAUUUUUCUGGAAAACCAAUGAAAUGGCAAGUCACUGUUCUUGAAUCAAGCUUCCUUUCUGUUGGAUUAUACAUUUUUGCCUCUGCCAAACAGCCCCACACAUGAAGAUGGUUGAGGCUUGGCUUCCUCGAUGUCCACAACUCAAAAGGAGUUUUAUUCACUGAUUUGCUCGGUACACGGUUUGAAAUAUAGUUUGCCAUCUUAAGUGCUUCUCCCCACAAGAACAUUGGAAGAUUGGUCCUGCUCAUCAUGCAUCUUACCAUUUCUUUCAAAGUUCUAUUCCUUCUCUCGGCCACACCGUUUUGUUGUGGUGUGCCGGGAGUAGUGUACUGAGCUUGUAUGCCAUUUUCCUCCAAGUAUCUUGCCAUUGGACCUUUUGUUGCCCUUCCUCAGUGUACCUGCCAUAAUACUCUCCACCACGGUCCGACCUCAAAAUUUUAAUUGAUGUUUCUAGUUGCUUUUCUACCUCAUUUUGAUAUGUUUUAAAACAACUAGCCACUUCAUUUUUCUCGGAUAUUAAGUAAACAUAAGCAUACCGAGAAAAAUCAUCAAUAAAAGUCACAAAAUAGACAUUUUUGCAAAUGGUUUUAGUGGGGAAAGGACCACAAACAUCUGAAUGAAUUAUUUCCAAGAGUUUUUACUCCUUGUUGAUCCAAUUUUCUUUGUGUUUGUUAAUUUACCCUUCCAACAAUCAACACAGUUUUGCAGGUCAAUAAAGUUUAACCUUGGCAGUAUGUUCUCUUUAACUAGAAGUUCCAAUCUCUUUUGACUUAUGUGUCCGAGCCUCCUAUGCCAAAGCAUAGAGGACUUUUCAUUAACCAAAGAUCUUUUACUUUUAAGAACUGUUGACACUUGCAUGCAAUUUGGAAUUGUAACAACAUCACAAUGUAAUCUCCAUAAAUCAUUUUCCAACAAACAAAUACCAAGUAAAAGAUUGAGAUUACAUUUCUUGAAAAUCCUUAUACUUUCAUCGUCGCCAAUGAAAGCAUAACCAGUCUUUACAAGCUUGGAAGCUGAAAUUAAAUUUCUAGUUAAACUAGGAACAUAAAGAACAUCUAACAAUUCUAAUUCGAAAUUAGUUGACAACUUGAGCUUUAGAGUGCCUAUUGCCUCCACAGCCACUUUAUUUCCAUUUCCUACGUGAACUUCAUAGACUUCAUUUCUUGCAAAUUCCCUUCUUGUGAAUCCCUGCAAUGAAUUGGUAAUAUGCACCGAACAACCAGUGUCAAAACCACCAAGAAUUUGGAGGGACUUCAACAAGAUUGAUAUUAACACAAACAAAAACAUUUUCAGUUUUAUUACCUGUUUUAUUUCCCCACUUCUUACGUUUUGGACAGUCCCUUUUGAAAUGACCAUAUUCCUUGCAAAAAUAACACUUAACCUUUUCCAUAUCCACCCUAAAACCUUGAGGUCCCUUUGAGGAGAGAGUAUUAUUUCCAGCAGAGUGAGAAAAGUUAAAGGGUUUGCUUGGCUUACCAGAAAACACAUCGUGCUUCUUUCCUUUGUCUGUGCUCACCACAUUGACAACCUCUUGUUUUCCUCGUUUCAUCCUUGCCUCCUCUUGGACACAGAUUGAAAUCAAAUCAUUCAAACUCCAUUUUUCUUUCUGAGCAUUGUAGGAUGUCUUCAACUGCUCAUAACUCUCAGGAAGAGAGUUAAGAGCCAUAUGAACCACAAAAGAGUCAUCAAUAGGCACUUCAAGAUCACUGAGCUUUGCCGCUGCCUCCACCAUUUUCAGUAUGUGCUCCCUAACUGUGUGACUUUCAUCAAAUUUCAGAGUAGUCAGGAUUGUCAUGAGGUUUCCUAUCUCUCCUUUCUCAGAGACCUUGAACUUUGCCUCAAUGCCUUCAAGGAAAUUCUUUGCUUUGUCACUGGCAGGUAGUCCCCCUCUCACAGCUUCCCCAAUUGAUCUUUUUAUCACAAGUAAUGCCAUGCGAUUAGCUUUUUCCCAUUUUUCAAAUUUCAACCUUUGAGCAGCUGUGCUAGUUGCAUCCACUGGUGCUGGCUCAUCUUCUCUAAGUGCCAAAUCGUAGUCCAUCAGUCCCAAAAUAAUCUCAACAUCUUGUCUCCAUUUUUUGUAAUUUCCUCCAUUGAGCGGCUCGAUAGAGGAAAAAUUCAGGGACAUGGGAUUCACUGAGGACGUCAUUAAUUUGUUAGUGAAACAAACAAUGAAAAUUGCAUGCAGUACAAGGUAACACCUUUGGGCAAGAAACUCUUUACUACAAGUUUCAUUGACAUAGCUACUUAAUUUAAUAUUAAACAUCUUCAUAACUCGAGUCUUUGGACAAGAAUUAGAUCAAUUUAAUAUCAAAAUAACCACUAUGCCCUAAUUCACUUAAUCGAACCAUUCAUAUAUUCCCUUUUUGAAGAGAGCAGUAUGUAUGUUAUGAUAAAUGAAUUACAAUGUCCUGCGACCUAAUUCAUGCAACAAUGCUUGACAAAAUCCCAUUUUGAUGUGAUCUUCUAAGCAUUUGUGCAUCGGUGCAAAGUCUUGUUCCCUUAAAAAUCUUCAACUGAGGAUUAUAUGUGAUAUGUUUAAACUAAAAAACAGUUUUGAAUCCAAGUAGACUAACCUUGCUCUGAUACCAAAUGUUAGACCUACAACUUAUUAGUCUUUGCCAAGGAUCACAAUUAACAUUCACAUAUACAUAUAUAUAUUUGAGGAGUCUGAGUAUGAUCAUACCUGAGGACGUCAUGAUACAAGCAACAAAACAGCAACACAUAGAGUCUUCUACUCACUGAGGAACCUGAUAUCAAAACCCUAGCGAUAGUUCUAGAUCUUGUUUUUGAUGUAAUCUUCCCGUGAGCAGGGACACCUCCUGUAUAGGCUUAUAAACCCAACUGCAUCCCAACUAUCGUGGGAUCGUCUAAGCCUAAAAAAUCUCCACGUUUGUCAGUUGUUAAACCACAACUGAAGCACGCAUUUAGUGUCCUACAAAUAAGGGAUUUUAUCCUUUAAAUGGUUUUGACUUUAAAUAAUUAAUUCCACGUAUGAUAGUCCUUAUUAUGCCCAAUGAUAAUUCAAUAGAGUCCUUUCAGUGUCUUG